UACAGGGGUCCCAAGCGUUGUUCGGAUUCAUUGGGCGUAAAGGGAGCGUAGGUGGUCGGGUAAGUCAGAUGUCAAAUUUCGACGCUCAACGUCGAAUCGCAUUUGAUACUGCCUGGCUAGAGGAAUUGAGAGGAGGCCGGAAUUCACGGUGUAGCAGUGAAAUGCGUAGAUAUCGUGAGGAAGACCAACGGCGAAAGCAGGCCUCUGGAAAUUUCCUGACACUGAGGCUCGAAGGCCAGGGGAGCAAACGGG
RNAcentral lists this ribosomal RNA (252 nucleotides) under uncultured bacterium. RNAcentral describes it as "partial 16S ribosomal RNA". It matches the Rfam family "Bacterial small subunit ribosomal RNA", at positions 524 to 776 of the family's 1533-position model. The record is from RNAcentral.